This is a long non-coding RNA of Malurus melanocephalus (red-backed fairy wren), 2013 nucleotides long. RefSeq lists it as uncharacterized. The record is from RefSeq and is a predicted model, not a curated record. NCBI's taxonomy places the organism in Eukaryota, Metazoa, Chordata, Aves, Passeriformes, Maluridae. The transcript has 3 exons.
GUGGAAAUUUUGCUCUGUGUGGGAUUUCCACCUGCUGUGGGUCUCAGGUGCUUUUCCAGGAUGCAAGGGGUGAUUUGCUGAAAACAGCCUUUUUUACCCCCYGUCUUCCAGCCUCAUCAGGAAAGAAAAUAAAUAAAUAUUGGAGCUUUUUUUUUUGUUUUUUUUUUUAGUGUGACGAAAGGAAACCCUAAAUUCUCAGCCCCAAACUGAUCCCAAAUCUUGAGAGCUUGGUGYUGGCUGGAAGCCUGGGGCACAGAUGAUGGUUGAUGGUUGAAUUGGUGUCUGCUCCAGCACCAGCGCCUGCCCUAAGGUGGAGCUGCUUCUCUUUCUGCAUCGUGGCUGCCCAGAAAACGCCGGAUCCACUCUGGUCACCCAAAUACCGCCUGCCUACAGCUUCUGAGACAAAAGAAAACCCAUCCAAACUGUGGGUUUGUGUUUGUUUUCCAUGCUCCCCCAUUGAAAUUCCAUGCCAAAGGUACAAUGCUUUUGGAUGAAGUGGGAUGGUGGCAACAACCAGGAGAGGAGGAAGAAGGAUUCCUACUUUACAUGUGGGGUGGAUGCCACCAGGACACAGCCCUGUGGUCCCCUCCCUGUGCCAGCAUCCUCUCCAGAUUUCCAAUUCCCUGGAGGGAGCCCGGUGCUUUGCCAUGGUGCUGUGUGCUGCAGUGAGCCGGGGCAGCUGCCCGAGGAUGCUGGAGCCUGUGCUGCUGCUGUUAAUGAACUGGUGUUAAUGAACUGGUGUUAAUGGGCACCCUGAUGGUGAGAAGUCAGCACUGGAGCCGUGCAGGGGCUGGAGCUGGGGGUUCUUCCACGUGGGCUGUCACCAGAGAAUGAAGAGCCAAGCUGCAGUAACUCCCGGGUGUAGACAAGAUCCUGAACCGCAUCACUUUAAUUACGCCAGCGCAAAUUCCACUCAUUUGGUUAAGCCUGGGAGCUACAGGAAGAGCUGUUUCCAGGUAUKCUGGUUUAAUGAAUGCAUGCCCUGGAUUCCCCACCGUGCUGGGCUUUGCCGGGCUCUCUGGCAUUCCGGGACAAGUUUGCAGCCAUCAGCACGUCCCAGCACACCGACUCUGCUUGGGUCAGAUAAAUGGGUUUUAACCUGAUUUGUGCUGUAAUCUCCAUGUCUACAGGCUCUCAUCACGCACAGGAUAAAACCCCAGCUCCUGUGUGCUUUCACCGGGCAGCUCCUGCCAGUCAGACUGGCCGAUGACUCCAAGCCAAGUGGCUUCCCCUUCCUGGCAUCUCAGGGACACCUCUGGACUCUGUGUGUUUGCCAAAUGGCUUUUGUUUGCUUAACUCCUUGCACUGGAGCAGGCAGAGGCACAGCUCCCACAGUGCCAUCCCUCCUCCACAGGCAGGGACAGGAUGACAAUCCUGCUGCCCAGGGCAGGCAGCCUGGUGCCAUCCCACCCCUGGAAAAAAUARCACCUUUUGGCUGCGUUAUUUGUACUUUCCUUUUCUGAACUUGCCUUAAAAAGAAGGGCUUGAUUUUCAAAGAAACAGCAUUUAAAUUACAUUCUUCCCUGCUCUUCCAGAUCUUCACUGUAAUCUUAUUGCUGUACGGAGCAACAAGCGUGCGUGGGUCAUGGUGGGAUUUUAACUGUAAUUCAUGGACAGAUAUAAAAUGCCAGGGUUAUUAUGAAUUUUAUUCAGGAGAGUUUAAAUGUUACUGGUUCAGCACUGCCUCUCACCGUGCUUCCUUUGCAGCAGCUUCUGUUUAACCUCUCAGCUCACAAAAUUUGUUGCGUUCUUGGUGUCUCGCUGUAAUUCUCCAGGUUUUCAAAUAAUCCCAGGAAAAGAGUUAACCUCUGCCUUAGUCUACAUCCACUGCAAAGCAUGUGGGGCCAAAGUCUGUUUUUCCUGACACCUCUGAUAAAUCCUGUGGGUUCAUUGGGGAAAACUGCCACUCUCAAUUUCAAAAUKAUGUCCAUGGUAGAGGGGUCAGGAGCAGUGCAGGGACCAGGGAGCACCAAAACCUGGUCCCAGUGUUGCUGUCAACAUUUGGGCAAGGCC